UACGAAGGGGGCUAGCGUUGUUCGGAAUUACUGGGCGUAAAGCGCACGUAGGCGGACUAUUAAGUCAGGGGUGAAAUCCUGGAGCUCAACUCCAGAACUGCCUUUGAUACUGAUGGUCUCGAGUCCGGAAGAGGUGAGUGGAAUUCCGAGUGUAGAGGUGAAAUUCGUAGAUAUUCGGAGGAACACCAGUGGCGAAGGCGGCUCACUGGUCCGGUACUGACGCUGAGGUGCGAAAGCGUGGGGAGCAAACAGGAUUAGAAACC
RNAcentral lists this ribosomal RNA (263 nucleotides) under uncultured bacterium. Its description in RNAcentral is "partial 16S ribosomal RNA". It matches the Rfam family "Bacterial small subunit ribosomal RNA", at positions 524 to 786 of the family's 1533-position model. The record is from RNAcentral.